GAUGAACGCUAGCUACAGGCUUAACACAUGCAAGUCGAGGGGUAACGAGAGGAAAGCUUGCUUUCCUUGUCGACGACCGGCGCACGGGUGAGUAACGCGUAUCCAACCUGCCCCCAACUAGGGAAUAACCUUGCGAAAGUAAGACUAAUACCCUAUAAUUUCCUCAGAUGUCAUCUGACGAGGAAUAAAGAUUUAUCGGUUGUGGAUGGGGAUGCGUCUGAUUAGCUUGUUGGCGGGGUAACGGCCCACCAAGGCAACGAUCAGUAGGGGUUCUUAGAGUGAGGUCCCCCACAUUGGAACGUAGACUCGGGCCAAACGCCUACGGGAGGCAGCAGUGAGGAAUAUUGGUCAAUGGGCGGAAGCCUGAACCAGCCAAGUAGCGUGCAGGAUGACGGCCCUAUGGGUUGUAAACUGCUUUUAUACAGGAAUAAAGUUAGCCACGUGUGGUUAUUUGUAGGUACUGUAUGAAUAAGGACCGGCUAAUUCCGUGCCAGCCGCCGCCGUAA
RNAcentral lists this ribosomal RNA (506 nucleotides) under uncultured bacterium. RNAcentral's name for it is "partial 16S ribosomal RNA". It matches the Rfam family "Bacterial small subunit ribosomal RNA", at positions 28 to 523 of the family's 1533-position model. The record is from RNAcentral.